Molecule: long non-coding RNA, 908 nt
Organism: Dicentrarchus labrax (European seabass)
Lineage: Eukaryota; Metazoa; Chordata; Actinopteri; Moronidae
Exons: 3
Source: RefSeq, a predicted model, not a curated record
AUAAAAAUGUGUGAAACACCUCAAAAACUGUGCAACAAAUGUAAAUCAGUAAUUACACGGGGAGAAUGGCAGAUUAGGAAGGUGAGACACUGGAUUAUAACAGGCCUCUCUGCCUUUGAAUGUGUGACAGCCACCCCUCCUCCCUCACUUGCCACAACACAGCUCAAAGAACGGUGCCUCCUUGCUGAAGGUUGGCGACAGCUGCCCAACAGUGCUUCAGCUAUUUGACAUGUAAGCUAAUGCCACAGCCUGAUUGGUUGACUCUGUUUAGCAAACGGAGAUGCAAUGCCUUCUGAGGCUGCAGGUUAAAUAUAGGAUGGCAUACUAACUACCUUUUUUUAGCACUUGAUUUGACUUCUCUUUGAAUCAAAAUAUAAUUUUCCCUGUAAAACAUGAGAAAUAGGUAGAACAGCUAAGGAAGAAGGACAAAAUAGCCAGACAGGUGCUGAGCUUUUGGAAAGAAGACAAGAUGGCCAGACUGCUGCCGAACUUUCAGAUACAUCCAAAGGCAGGCCUGGUCUGAGCUUGCUCGAGUCUUGCAGUUCUGGAUUGUUUGGUUACUCCUUCAAUGUGCAGCAGAGCCUUCACACUCCUUAUUCCUCAAUCAGCUGUCCUCCUGGAUCCAGAUGGCAGCACAGGAUGGAAAUGAUGGAAAUGAUGGAAGUCCGAGCAGAUGGAAAGCCAUGCAGGGAUUAAGGACAAAGCCUGUAAAAGAAUAAUGAGUCACCCUGGGCAAGUCUUGACAUUUGCUUUGGAAUGAAGAUUGAGGACAUCUGACAUGAUACAUUUUACACCACUGAGGACAGAAUACUGCUGUGCUGAGCAGGGUGCUACCGAGGGACCAAGACGGACAGCAGCAGCUGAAUGUCUCUCUCUCUCUCCCCCUCUGGAGAGUGGUAAUGGCCCUC